Molecule: ribosomal RNA, 548 nt
Filed under: uncultured bacterium
Lineage: Bacteria
Description: bacterial SSU rRNA
Rfam family: Bacterial small subunit ribosomal RNA
Source: RNAcentral
UGGGGAAUAUUGCGCAAUGGGGGGAACCCUGACGCAGCCAUGCCGCGUGAAUGAAGAAGGCCUUCGGGUUGUAAAGUUCUUUCGGUAUUGAGGAAGGUUGAUGUGUUAAUAGCACAUCAAAUUGACGUUAAAUACAGAAGAAGCACCGGCUAACUCCGUGCCAGCAGCCGCGGUAAUACGGAGGGUGCGAGCGUUAAUCGGAAUAACUGGGCGUAAAGGGCACGCAGGCGGUUAUUUAAGUGAGGUGUGAAAGCCCUGGGCUUAACCUAGGAAUUGCAUUUCAGACUGGGUAACUAGAGUACUUUAGGGAGGGGUAGAAUUCCACGUGUAGCGGUGAAAUGCGUAGAGAUGUGGAGGAAUACCGAAGGCGAAGGCAGCCCCUUGGGAAUGUACUGACGCUCAUGUGCGAAAGCGUGGGGAGCAAACAGGAUUAGAUACCCUGGUAGUCCACGCUGUAAACGCUGUCGAUUUGGGGAUUGGGCUUAGAGCUUGGUGCCCGUAGCUAACGUGAUAAAAUCGACCGCCUGGGGAGUACGGCCGCAAGGUUA